Mastomys coucha (southern multimammate mouse) is the source of this 1344-nucleotide long non-coding RNA. RefSeq lists it as uncharacterized. The record is from RefSeq and is a predicted model, not a curated record. The transcript is spliced from 4 exons. NCBI's taxonomy places the organism in Eukaryota, Metazoa, Chordata, Mammalia, Rodentia, Muridae.
CCAACAGUGAUUCCCACGUGCAGCCAGAGUUGAGAGCCGCACUGAGAAAGGCAGUCUUAGGCAGCACAGAUGUACUCAGAUGAGCUCUAGGAGCAAGACUGACCCCUACUCAGUCAAGGUCAAGAGGAAGAGAUCAAUUAAAACUACACUUCCACCAUGCGAGGUUAUUAGAGCAGUCUCUGGGAUCCCACAGCAUGACACGUCAGUCGCACUUGACAUAGUAGCCGCCUGCUUAACUGUUGAAGAGACAAUGGUCCUUCCUAACCUCCAGAAUUUUCCGCAGUUUCUUCACGUUGUGAUAGUUCCCUAUGGCUACAGUGCAUCCCUGUGGGGAAGUCGAGUCAGAAACUGGAAGCACCUAGACACAUCCACAGCCAAUGGCAGAGAGCGCAUGCAUGCUCACACUCAGCUCAUCUUCUAGGAAUGGAGCCACCCACUGUUUUAGGCUGGGCCAUCUCACUUCAAUUAAGGAUUUUACUAGACAGCCACAAACUGACCUUGAAAUCAUAAUUCUCCUGCCUCAGCUUCCUGACCACAGAAUUACAGAAGUAUGCCACCACUCAUGGAUCCUUUUAGCUUUUAGAGUUUUUUGUUGUUGUUGUUUUCGUUUUGUUUUGUUUUGUUUUGUUUUUUAAAGACAGUCUCACUAUGCAGCCCUGGGUGGCCUAGAACUGGUUAUACAGAGCAGGCUGGACUUGAACACAAAGAGACCCAGCUGCCUCAGUUUCCAGAAUGCUGGGGUUCAAAGUAUGAAGCACCAUGCCUGGCCUUUUAGCUAGUUUUAAUGUGUACCACCAAGCUUUAGAGCAGGUGUUUCUACUGAAGCUUAUAUAUAAGGAAACCAAGGCUCAGCCGCCUCCAUAGCGACAAGCUGUCAGUGCUGAAGUCAGCCAGACCUGCUGGGAUUCCAAGGCUGCCGCUCUGCCACAGCCCAGUCAGGCCCUCCAAAGCAGCAGCCUGUCAGAAAUGGGUCUCAGAAGCUCAACUGUGUUCUCCCACAGAAAGAGACAUCUUCCAAACAGGCCACAGGAAGCUUCCAGUACUGCAAAUGUUUCUUUCAGUGUCUCUCCAAACCACACUGGCUGCUACAAAGAGCAAGGUGCAGUUGACAAUUUAAGUGGCUUCUGGGGGGAGCUAGGCUCUUUGGGAAUGAAAGACUGUGCCUACUGCAUUGUGGGCAAGGGUCUUGCUGGCUUCUGGAUAAUUCUCUCCUCUGCUCACUGCUUCCUAAUUCCCCCUCCCCCUCUACAAAUGGCAGAUGACAAAAACUCCCGAAGAAACUUCUCAUGGCUGCAUUUGUCUGUAUCAAGGGAAAUUAAAAUACCCACAUUUCUAUGCUCUGAA